GACAGUGUGUUAAAGUUAAAUACUGUUAGUGCUGCACUAAAAGAAUUGUUAGUAAUAAGUCCAUGCAGUGAAGGAAGUGAACAAUUGUGGGACCGUAUUUGGGCUGAAAAUGGGUGUGGUACGGAAACCCAAAAAUAGCAUGAGUUCAACAUAAAACAUGAAUUAGAAUUUUAGCGGGGGAUCAAGUAAAAUCUGGAAGUGUUACAGGAUGGAAGAGUGAGCCUACAGUUAAAAAACACUGAAAGUGCAUUACCAUUAAGGUAUGAGCUGCUUCUCUUGCUAAAGAACAAUUUGUCCUUUACGUUCAGUGUUGGUGAAGCUGGGUACUUAAAUGGCCCUAAAGAUGUUUCAUUUCGUUGGCAUUGCAGCGAUGAACAUCAUACAUGGACUUUUUAGGAAAGGAUUUUCAGCAUACUGGGAACACAACUAUCAACAAUGCAACAUUCUAGGGGUGCUAUUUUAUCAUUUAAGAGCCUUAUACAAUGAUUUUCAUCUGCAAUUUGUAUGGCCUUUCCCAAGCUUCUGCCAGAAAUUGAAUCUAUAAGUCAUGUAAGUCACAUGAGCAACAAUUGAGAUGCUUAAUGGUGUUUUUCUUUUCUCAGCAUAGGUUAAUAGUAACAUUGGAUCUGAAAAGAUUCUUGGUUGGGGCAAGACACUGAAUAAAUUGUAAUGAUUGAAUGGA
Daphnia carinata is the source of this 682-nucleotide long non-coding RNA. RefSeq lists it as uncharacterized. Lineage: Eukaryota; Metazoa; Arthropoda; Branchiopoda; Diplostraca; Daphniidae. The transcript has 3 exons. The record is from RefSeq and is a predicted model, not a curated record.